ACUGCGAAUACCGGAGAAUGUUAUCACGGGAGACACACGGCGGGUGCUAACGUCCGUCGUGAAGAGGGAAACAACCCAGACCGCCAGCUAAGGUCCCAAAGUCAUGGUUAAGUGGGAAACGAUGUGGGAAGGCCCAGACAGCCAGGAUGUUGGCUUAGAAGCAGCCAUCAUUUAAAGAAAGCGUAAUAGCUCACUGGUCGAGUCGGCCUGCGCGGAAGAUGUAACGGGGCUAAACCAUGCACCGAAGCUGCGGCAGCGAACGUAUCACUUAAAACGAUUCAGAAGCUUACGAUUGACGGAGCGAAGCGACGUCAAAGCGUAUACAAAGUCGAGUCGGUUUAAGGAUACGUUCGUUGGGUAGGGGAGCGUUCUGUAAGCCGUUGAAGGUGGCCUGUGAGGGUUGCUGGAGGUAUCAGAAGUGCGAAUGCUGACAUAAGUAACGAUAAAGCGGGUGAAAAGCCCGCUCGCCGGAAGACCAAGGGUUCCUGUCCAACGUUAAUCGGGGCAGGGUGAGUCGACCCCUAAGGCGAGGCCGAAAGGCGUAGUCGAUGGGAAACGGGUUAAUAUUCCCGUACUUGGUGUUACUGCGAAGGGGGGACGGAGAAGGCUAUGUUGGCCGGGCGACGGUUGUCCCGGUUUAAGCGUGUAGGCUGACUUUCCAGGCAAAUCCGGAGAGUCAAGGCUGAGGCGUGAUGACGAGGCACCACGGUGCUGAAGCAACAAAUGCCCUGCUUCCAGGAAAAGCCUCUAAGCAUCAGGUAACAUCAAAUCGUACCCCAAACCGACACAGGUGGUCAGGUAGAGAAUACCAAGGCGCUUGAGAGAACUCGGGUGAAGGAACUAGGCAAAAUGGUGCCGUAACUUCGGGAGAAGGCACGCUGACACGUAGGUGAAGUGGUUUACCCAUGGAGCUGAAGUCAGUCGAAGAUACCAGCUGGCUGCAACUGUUUAUUAAAAACACAGCACUGUGCAAACACGAAAGUGGACGUAUACGGUGUGACGCCUGCCCGGUGCCGGAAGGUUAAUUGAUGGGGUCAGCGCAAGCGAAGCUCCUGAUCGAAGCCCCGGUAAACGGCGGCCGUAACUAUAACGGUCCUAAGGUAGCGAAAUUCCUUGUCGGGUAAGUUCCGACCUGCACGAAUGGCGUAAUGAUGGCCAGGCUGUCUCCACCCGAGACUCAGUGAAAUUGAACUCGCUGUGAAGAUGCAGUGUACCCGCGGCAAGACGGAAAGACCCCGUGAACCUUUACUAUAGCUUGACACUGAACAUUGAGCCUUGAUGUGUAGGAUAGGUGGGAGGCUUUGAAGCGUGGACGCCAGUCUGCGUGGAGCCGGCCUUGAAAUACCACCCUUUAAUGUUUGAUGUUCUAACGUGGACCCGUGAUCCGGGUUGCGGACAGUGUCUGGUGGGUAGUUUGACUGGGGCGGUCUCCUCCUAAAGAGUAACGGAGGAGCACGAAGGUUGGCUAAUCCUGGUCGGACAUCAGGAGGUUAGUGCAAUGGCAUAAGCCAGCUUGACUGCGAGCGUGACGGCGCGAGCAGGUGCGAAAGCAGGUCAUAGUGAUCCGGUGGUUCUGAAUGGAAGGGCCAUCGCUCAACGGAUAAAAGGUACUCCGGGGAUAACAGGCUGAUACCGCCCAAGAGUUCAUAUCGACGGCGGUGUUUGGCACCUCGAUGUCGGCUCAUCACAUCCUGGGGCUGAAGUAGGUCCCAAGGGUAUGGCUGUUCGCCAUUUAAAGUGGUACGCGAGCUGGGUUUAGAACGUCGUGAGACAGUUCGGUCCCUAUCUGCCGUGGGCGCUGGAGAACUGAGGGGGGCUGCUCCUAGUACGAGAGGACCGGAGUGGACGCAUCACUGGUGUUCGGGUUGUCAUGCCAAUGGCACUGCCCGGUAGCUAAAUGCGGAAGAGAUAAGUGCUGAAAGCAUCUAAGCACGAAACUUGCCCCGAGAUGAGUUCUCCCUGAGACUUUGAGUCUCCUGAAGGAACGUUGAAGACGACGACGUUGAUAGGCCGGGUGUGUAAGCGCAGCGAUGCGUUGAGCUAACCGGUACUAAUGAACCGUGAGGCUUAACCUU
This 2075-nucleotide ribosomal RNA is filed under the name Salmonella enterica subsp. salamae serovar 58:d:z6. RNAcentral describes it as "bacterial LSU rRNA". It matches the Rfam family "Bacterial large subunit ribosomal RNA", at positions 953 to 2925 of the family's 2925-position model. Lineage: Bacteria; Pseudomonadati; Pseudomonadota; Gammaproteobacteria; Enterobacterales; Enterobacteriaceae. The record is from RNAcentral.